CUACGGAAGGUCCAGGUGUUAUCCGGAUUUAUUGGGUUUAAAGGGAGCGUAGGCGGGAGUUAAAGUCAGUUGUGAAAAGCCUGGGCCCAACUCAGGUCGUGCAGUUGAUACUAAAUUUCUUGAGUGCGCACGAGGAAGGUGGAAUUUGUGGUGUAGCGGUGAAAUGCAUAGAUAUCACGAAGAACUCCGAUUGCGAAGGCAGCCUUCCGGAGCGUUACUGACGCUGAGGCUCGAAGGUGCGGGUAUCAAACAGGAUUAGAUACCCUGGUAGUCCGCACAGUAAACGAUGGAUGCCGGCUGUAGGCGACAAAAUGUCUGUGGUUAGGCGAAAGCAUUAAGCAUCCCACCUGGGGAGUACGCCGGCAACGGUGAAACUCAAAUGAAUUGACGGGG
This 393-nucleotide ribosomal RNA is filed under the name uncultured bacterium. RNAcentral describes it as "partial 16S ribosomal RNA". It matches the Rfam family "Bacterial small subunit ribosomal RNA", at positions 523 to 918 of the family's 1533-position model. The record is from RNAcentral.